CCCUACCUCAACAAGUCAAAACUAUAACACAAAUGUGUCAACAGAACUCUUUUCUCUCAGCUCAAAACCAACGGCAACCGAAACCUCAGCCGCUGAUCACUUUCGCAGCAAUCAUAGCAACUUAAAAGCGACAUGCAAAAUACAGAUUA
Non-coding RNA from Arachis ipaensis, 149 nucleotides. The record is from RefSeq and is a predicted model, not a curated record. NCBI's taxonomy places the organism in Eukaryota, Viridiplantae, Streptophyta, Magnoliopsida, Fabales, Fabaceae.